GAGGGUAUAGCUCAGUGGUAGAACAAGUACUUAGCAUGCACAAGGUCCUGAGUUCGAAUACCCAGUACCUCCA
RNAcentral lists this transfer RNA (73 nucleotides) under Camelus ferus (Wild Bactrian camel). It matches the Rfam family "tRNA". From Rfam's summary of the family: Transfer RNA (tRNA) molecules are approximately 80 nucleotides in length. Their secondary structure includes four short double-helical elements and three loops (D, anti-codon, and T loops). Further hydrogen bonds mediate the characteristic L-shaped molecular structure. tRNAs have two regions of fundamental functional importance: the anti-codon, which is responsible for specific mRNA codon recognition, and the 3' end, to which the tRNAs corresponding amino acid is attached (by aminoacyl-tRNA synthetases). tRNAs cope with the degeneracy of the genetic code in two manners: having more than one tRNA (with a specific anti-codon) for a particular amino acid; and 'wobble' base-pairing, i.e. permitting non-standard base-pairing at the 3rd anti-codon position. The record is from Rfam by way of RNAcentral. Lineage: Eukaryota; Metazoa; Chordata; Mammalia; Artiodactyla; Camelidae.